This 238-nucleotide long non-coding RNA is filed under the name Gallus gallus (chicken). Lineage: Eukaryota; Metazoa; Chordata; Aves; Galliformes; Phasianidae. The record is from RNAcentral.
CCCCUGGGUUGGGCUGUUACCAGGGCGUUCCAGGCGGGGAUCUUGACACAUAUCCAGCUCGGGAGUAGAGUCUAUGAUGUCCUGAACAUCGGACCACUCAUCACUGCUUCCCAUACCUAUGCUGACAUUCCUCAUCUCCUGCGUGACCUGGACUUCCAUGUUCCGGCUGUUCCGCUUUUCUCGUGUCCUCUUGUUGCUCUUGGUUGUGCCAUUGUAUUCACUGAUGGGUUGGAUGCUC